GGAAACUGUGGGAAGUAAGCCAGCAGGCAGAGCAGCAGAAACACCCAAAGACUCAACAGCAGGACGCAGAACAGGAAAAGGAUGCGCAGUGGGGCUCCAGAGGGUCCACCCAGGUUCAGAGAAAGUGAGUCCUCUUUGCAAAGAUACUAUAAUGGGAAACCCAUAGGCUCAGGAGGGGCCCGAACAAAAGCAAUGAUGACAGCAACAAAUGAAAAUGACGUCGAAAUGAUGCGUUGCCAAGAAGUCCAGCUGCCAGAUUCAGCUGUUGGUGUUGCCUGUCUCUGUCAAUCACCGAGUCCCUUUUUGGUCUCCACUGUCUGCACAAACUACAUUAUCUUUUCUGUCUUUGACGAACACCAGUCUGCUCUCUCUCUCUCUCCUUGUUGUCUUUAAUUAGCUCCAUAUUAAGAUAGGCUAAAUAUAGUGUCUUUUGUAUGUGCCAUAUGAGCAUGUAAUGUGAUGUAUUCCUGUAAAUAACUGUCCCUGUCCUAUUGUUCUCAUUCUUAAAUAAAUAAAAAAAACCCUAAAAGA
Long non-coding RNA from Carassius auratus (goldfish), 531 nucleotides. RefSeq lists it as uncharacterized. The transcript has 3 exons. The record is from RefSeq and is a predicted model, not a curated record. Lineage: Eukaryota; Metazoa; Chordata; Actinopteri; Cypriniformes; Cyprinidae.